Long non-coding RNA from Astatotilapia calliptera (eastern happy), 1583 nucleotides. The record is from Ensembl. Lineage: Eukaryota; Metazoa; Chordata; Actinopteri; Cichliformes; Cichlidae.
GUGGUCAUUAUUAGUCUAAUUUUGAUGUAUCAUACUGUUUAGAACUUUUACUCAAAACUGCUAUACGUUAUUGUUUAAAACGUGUCGUAUAUUCGUACAAAUUCAGAUAAUCUUACCUCGGACAAAAUGGAGAUCAUCCACUGCUGAAGCGUGUGUGUCCUGUACGUGGCACAACAGACUACAGGUGGAAGUGUAGAAUGAUUGAAAUGAAAAUGCUUUCAUUAGUUAAAUCUAUUAGAUUUCUUCAUUUUUCACGCUACUCAUACAUUUUUGUUAAAUCUGCUCAAAAAACUAUUGCUUAAUUUACCCCAAACAAAAUUGUGUAAAUUUAAAUAAAUGAACAUCUCAAAAAUGUUUAAUUUUGCUUAGAUUUAAUUAAAACAACACAUACAUGUUUUUACUGAUUAAUAGUUACUAUUACUUUCCUAUUAGAUACUAAUUAACCCAAAUCACAGUUUUUACAGUGUAUAGCACUUUGUCAACCUGUGUUGUGUUUAAAUGUGCUUAUAAAUAAAUUGAUCGAUUGAUAGAUGUGUUGUAUUCUCUGAGGAGUAUUUAAAAGACAAGGGGGGAAAAAUCGUGAUUUUGGCUUCAUCUCUCAUGUUUCUCGGUUAUUUUUAAGCAUCUCUGUAUUUGUCUGCUUCUCUGUCUCUUUCUUUAUCAACCAGUUUCCCUCCACCUCACACCUUCCUGUCCUCCCGUCUCUCCCCUCCACCUACAACAACUGCGGUUUCCAGGUGUUGUUCAAUAAUACUUCAAUAAAGACUAAUAAAGCAAAACAAGGAUGAGAAUGUUCCCGUGUCCUUGAGGUCAGUGCUCGAGUCAGAGCAAAAAUCAAUCUGUAGCAGCUUUAACUUGAGAUACUCCAAUGCUGUUGUACGACUGAUGGCAGAUUCAUUAGGAGCAUAGGUGCAGGCGAUUAAGUCAUAAAAUGGUGAAAUGCUGAAAAUUUACAGUUAGAACCAAUCAUAUCAAGUCAGGCUGAAUUAUCAUCACUGUGACCUUACCAGCAAAAAAAAAAAAAAAAAAGUAACCACGGGUGAGAUGAUUAAGCUGAGGAACAUACAGUGGGGCAAAAAAGUAUUUAGUCAGCCACCGAUUGUGCAAGUUCCCCCACUUAAAAUGAUGACAGAGGUCAGUAAUUUGCACCAGAGGUACACUUCAACUGUGAGAGACAGAAUGUGAAAAAAAAAAUCCAUGAAUUCACAUGGUAGGAUUUGUAAAGAAUUUAUUCGUAAAUCAGGGUGGAAAAUAAGUAUUUGGUCACCUCAAACAAGGAAAAUCUCUGGCUCUCACAGACCUGUAACGUCUUCUGUAAGAAGCUUUUCUGUCCCCCACUCGUUACCUGUAUGAAUGGCACCUGUUUGAACUCAUCAUCUGUAUAAAAGACACCUGUCCACAGCCUCAAACAGUCAGACUCCAAACUCCGCCAUGGCCAAGACCAAAGAGCUUUCGAAGGACACCAGGAAAAGUAUUGUAGACCUGCACCAGACUGGGAAGAGUGAAUCUACAAUAGGCAAGCAGCUUGGUGUGAAAAAAUCAACUGUGGGAGCAAUCAUCAGAAAAUGGAAGACAUACAAGAC